Molecule: ribosomal RNA, 448 nt
Filed under: uncultured bacterium
Lineage: Bacteria
Description: bacterial SSU rRNA
Rfam family: Bacterial small subunit ribosomal RNA
Source: RNAcentral
CCAGACUCCUACGGGAGGCAGCAGUGGGGGAUAUUGCACAAUGGGGGGAACCCUGAUGCAGCGACGCCGCGUGAGGGAAGACGGUUUUCGGAUUGUAAACCUCUGUCUUUAGGGACGAAACAAAUGACGGUACCUAAAGAGGAAGCCACGGCUAACUACGUGCCAGCAGCCGCGGUAAUACGUAGGGGGCGAGCGUUAUCCGGAUUUACUGGGUGUAAAGGGAGCGUAGACGGCCAUGCAAGCUCGGUGUGAAAGGUGCGGGCACAACCCGCAGACUGCACUGAGAACUGUAUGGCUGGAGUGCCGGAGGGGCAGGCGGAAUUCCUGGUGUAGCGGUGAAAUGCGUAGAUAUCAGGAGGAACACCGGUGGCGAAGGCGGCCUGCUGGACGGCGACUGACGUUGAGGCUCGAAAGCGUGGGGAGCGAACAGGAUUAGAUACCCCGGUAA